Molecule: transfer RNA, 71 nt
Filed under: Psettina iijimae
Lineage: Eukaryota; Metazoa; Chordata; Actinopteri; Pleuronectiformes; Bothidae
Description: tRNA-Val
Rfam family: tRNA
About the family: Transfer RNA (tRNA) molecules are approximately 80 nucleotides in length. Their secondary structure includes four short double-helical elements and three loops (D, anti-codon, and T loops). Further hydrogen bonds mediate the characteristic L-shaped molecular structure. tRNAs have two regions of fundamental functional importance: the anti-codon, which is responsible for specific mRNA codon recognition, and the 3' end, to which the tRNAs corresponding amino acid is attached (by aminoacyl-tRNA synthetases). tRNAs cope with the degeneracy of the genetic code in two manners: having more than one tRNA (with a specific anti-codon) for a particular amino acid; and 'wobble' base-pairing, i.e. permitting non-standard base-pairing at the 3rd anti-codon position.
Source: RNAcentral
CAGGACGUAGCUAAGAAGUAUAGCAUCUCCCUUACACUGAGAAGUCACCCUUGCAAAACGGGUCGGCCUGA